Molecule: ribosomal RNA, 207 nt
Filed under: uncultured bacterium
Lineage: Bacteria
Description: partial 16S ribosomal RNA
Rfam family: Bacterial small subunit ribosomal RNA
Source: RNAcentral
UGCGUAGGUGGUGAGGUAAGUCGGAUGUGAAAUCUCGGAGCUCAACUCCGAAACUGCAUUGGAAACUACCUUGCUCGAGGAAUGGAGGGGGGACUGGAAUUCUCGGUGUAGCAGUGAAAUGCGUAGAUAUCGAGAGGAACACCAGUGGCGAAGGCGAGUCCCUGGACAUCUCCUGACACUGAGGCACGAAAGCUAGGGGAGCAAACA